RNAcentral lists this ribosomal RNA (253 nucleotides) under uncultured bacterium. RNAcentral describes it as "partial 16S ribosomal RNA". It matches the Rfam family "Bacterial small subunit ribosomal RNA", at positions 524 to 776 of the family's 1533-position model. The record is from RNAcentral.
UACGGAGGAUGCAAGCGUUAUCCGGAAUGAUUGGGCGUAAAGCGUCCGUAGGUGGUUAUGUAAGUCUGUGGUUAAAGCGUGGGGCUCAACCCCAUAAGGGCCAUGGAAACUACAAGACUUGAGUAAAGUAGGGGUAGAGGGAAUUCCCAGUGUAGCGGUGAAAUGCGUAGAGAUUGGGAAGAACACCGGUGGCGAAAGCGCUCUACUGGACUUAAACUGACACUGAGGGACGAAAGCUAGGGGAGCGAAAGGG